AUUGAACGCUGGCGGCAUGCCUUACACAUGCAAGUCGAACGGCAGCACGGGUGCUUGCACCUGGUGGCGAGUGGCGAACGGGUGAGUAAUACAUCGGAACAUGUCCUGUAGUGGGGGAUAGCCCGGCGAAAGCCGGAUUAAUACCGCAUACGAUCUACGGAUGAAAGCGGGGGACCUUCGGGCCUCGCGCUAUAGGGUUGGCCGAUGGCUGAUUAGCUAGUUGGUGGGGUAAAGGCCUACCAAGGCGACGAUCAGUAGCUGGUCUGAGAGGACGACCAGCCACACUGGGACUGAGACACGGCCCAGGCUCCUACGGGAGGCAGCAGUGGGGAACUUUGGACAAUGGGCGAAAGCCUGAUCCAGCAAUGCCGCGUGUGUGAAGAAGGCCUUCGGGUUGUAAAGCACUUUUGUCCGGAAAGAAAUCCUUGGCCCUAAUACGGUCGGGGGAUGACGGUACCGGAAGAAUAAGCACCGGCUAACUACGUG
This 486-nucleotide ribosomal RNA is filed under the name uncultured bacterium. RNAcentral describes it as "partial 16S ribosomal RNA". It matches the Rfam family "Bacterial small subunit ribosomal RNA", at positions 30 to 507 of the family's 1533-position model. The record is from RNAcentral.